This 107-nucleotide small nucleolar RNA is filed under the name Sorghum bicolor (sorghum). Its description in RNAcentral is "Plant small nucleolar RNA R71". It matches the Rfam family "Plant small nucleolar RNA R71". Rfam says of the family: R71 is a member of the C/D box family of snoRNAs containing the C (UGAUGA) and D (CUGA) box motifs. Multiple nearly identical copies of this snoRNA have been identified in Arabidopsis, and it is thought to function as a 2'-O-ribose methylation guide for 18S ribosomal RNA. Lineage: Eukaryota; Viridiplantae; Streptophyta; Magnoliopsida; Poales; Poaceae. The record is from Rfam by way of RNAcentral.
AUUCCAUGAUGGGGACAUUCUAGGAUGUAGUCUUGAAAGCGCUCCCAUGCUUCUGGAACAGAUUCAUCAUUUUGUUGCUGAAAACUUGUAAUCUUCGCACGGAGAGC